CUCGGGUUUGCUUUCCGCAGGUGCAGGCAAAGUGAAUGAAGCCAGGCAUGGCAGCAGGCAAGGUGGUGUGGCUCCUCCAGACGCAUAUUUAUCUCCGUUGGGAUCCUUCUGUGUUCUGUGGAGAGGGGGUGCAUGGUUUGCCUAUGACCUCAUCCUUAAACACAGCUGCCUUUUAUAUUAGCGUUCCUCACGAAUACACACUCAGUUCCUGACAGACAGGAUGACAGACAGGGCUGCUGGCCGGCCGGCGUACACAGCCCAUCUGGAGACUCCACCCCUGAGGACUGCGACAUGGGUUUCCAUCCAAGACAGCCAGCCACAGCUAUAUAAGAGGCUUGAACAGAACGAAACACAGAAAAAUGAUGCCUAAGAGACAAGUUCAGAAGGAAACAAGUAAGAUUCCAGGCGCAACCCAGGACCCAACACAAACAACUGUGCAGGUACAGGCCAGAUGCAGAAACCUGUGUCUUCAACCCCUUGUCUCCUGGGGGACAGUGACAUGGGGAAGAAAAACUACAGUAAAUGCACGUGUGAUUGUCUCCUUCACAUACACAGCAGUGAUCUGAACAAGAAAAGUCAAGUCUCGAAAGCCCCAUGCCUUGCCCGGUCCCCGCCUCCCCUCCAGUACUCUGAAGUAAACUACCCUGCUUCUAUGUACUUUGCCCUUGCCAGGUCAGAUACUGGGUUAGGCUUAUUCCAGAGCAGGCCUUCCAAGGUGUUUCCACUCUCCUAGUUAUUACGUUAAUUGUACAUGUUCAGAGCUACAGUUUGAUAGCUGGAGACAGCCAAUAAUGAUCAAAUCAUAGUAGUAAAAUAUGUACUCCUUAAGCAUUACAUUUCUUUCAAUUAAUGUAAUAAUCCUGAAAAAAAAGAAAAAAAAUGUAAUAAUCCUAUGUGUUUGUAGGGUACAGCGCAAUGUUUCGACGCAUGCAUACGAUGUAUACGAUGUGUACUGACACAGUCAGGGUCAUCAAUGUCUCCAUCCUUGUUGUUACUUUGUGUAUGUGGCAGCACAAUUCACAAGAUGUGUAAU
Long non-coding RNA from Mus musculus (house mouse), 1033 nucleotides. RefSeq annotates it as predicted gene, 51580. Lineage: Eukaryota; Metazoa; Chordata; Mammalia; Rodentia; Muridae. The transcript has 3 exons. The record is from RefSeq and is a predicted model, not a curated record.